AUCUUGCUGAUAUUCUUUUAUUAGUAUAACACAGCAAUUGUUUUACUUUCAUAACUGACGCGGGAAGCUCAGCGAUGCUGGGCCAUGAACUGCCCGGCCCAGAGGUGCCGGGAAUCAGCCUGGCACAAAUGAAGCCCUGAGCGGAGUGAAAAGAGCAUGAGACUCACAGGGGCUUCCCAGCAUUUGACUGGACAUCAUCCCAGUGAGACAUUUAAUUCAACGUAGUUAAAAGAGCCAGAAUGAAUUUAUCUCUGUGUGAGAAACGGGGCAAAGUCCCACAAAAGAAAAAUUACAACACGGGAAAUGCUGCUUGUACCUAGCCCUGCAUGAGUAAAAGAUUAUUCGACUGCAGUGGGAAGGGAAGGGUUAAAAAGGACUUUGCCCGUAAGGGUCUCUGUGGGGAGGCUUUGGCAGUGUGCUUUGGAGAUGGACAGAGAGCAGAUUGCCGAGUUACAGCAGACAAGGAAAUAAACCCGUUUUGAUCGCCCUGGUUAACUCCCAAACGGGGAGACCUGCCCUUUUACAGUCUUUAUGUUCCUCCACCUGGGAAUGAGGUAGAUACUGGCAGCAGCAGCCAGUGAGCAGGGAGCAGAUUUGCAUGAAGGGGCCGUUCUCCAGCGCUGGGGGUUUAAGAGAGAAUCGGAGGGUCCCAGCCACAGACCCGUUUACCUCAGGAAGCCGAGCUCGUCUGGAUUCCCCACCAUGGCCUGGGCCCCUCUGCUCCUCACACUGCUCACGUACUGCUCGGGGUCCCUCUCCCAGUACACUCUGACUCAGCCGCCCGCAGAAUCCGUGUCCAUUGGCAACACAGUUAAACUCUCCUGCGCCCUUAGCAGUGGAUACACAUUUGGAAGUGUUGUGUGGUACCAGCAAAAAAAUGGGAACAUCCCAAGAUACCUUCUGAGGUACAAGACGGACUCUGACAAGCACCAGGGCUCUGGGAUCCCCAGUCGUUUUGCUGGUUCCAAAGACGCCUCUAAUACAAUCGGCUACUUAACCAUCACCAGCGUCCAAGCAGAGGAUGAGGCUGAUUAUUACUGUGCUACAGGGACUGCACAGUGAUGCAGCCAAAUGGGGAACUCAGACACAAACCUCCCACUUCUGUCCUUCAGCCUCUGCCCAGCACGAGUUCAUCACGUGUCACUGUUACUGCUGCUGUUCUGUGGGCUCAUGGGGCCAGUCCCCUGUCACAGUAACUCACAAGCUUUACCACCUUCUGACUAGUUAAUGCCAAAUCUUCUUCCCAUUGGAACCAGUUGGCGUUUGGCCUUUCACUUUAGUAGAGGCAGGACCUGACUCUUAAUACAACUUUAGUCCUUAGUUAGGUUAAAUUAUAAUUCUAAACAAAAUCAGAAAACAUUUUAAAAUCUGCUUCCCAAAUAUGUGCGGUGAGCUAAGGCAGUUCCUGUUAAACACAAGUGUGUAGUUAAAUGAAGAUCCAGUGAGAUUCUUAGAAUGAACAGCCGGGAGUUAGAUCCCAGACAUUUCACACACACACCGCGGGGGGAGGGGAGGGAAGAAGAGUCCAUCAGGGUAGGAAAAGUCUCAUUAGGAAAGUGUGAGCCUGCAAAUGACUCUGUUAAUAGAGAUCAAAGCCUCACUGGGACUCACUGAGUAGAAAGAUCCCUUCCCCUGCAUGCCCCCUCCCCUCCAGAACCCUGCCCUGUACUUGUCUGAUGAGUUACAGGGGGCUCCUGAGUCCAUGAUGUCUCUAGAUAUAAACUAUUAACACGCAAGGGGAGUGUGAAGGCAGCCACAUUCCUAAGGCUAAACCUGAGCUGCGAGUAGCUGGGAAUUGGAAUGAAUCUCUCCUUAAACUAGGGUGACCAGCCAUCCCGAUUUUAUCGGGACUGUCCCAAUUUUUGCUUCUUUGUCCCGCGUCCCGACCGAUGUUUGGUCAGGACACUGGACAAAAAAGAAA
This is a non-coding RNA of Chrysemys picta bellii (western painted turtle), 1921 nucleotides long. Lineage: Eukaryota; Metazoa; Chordata; Testudines; Emydidae. The record is from the annotation of a RefSeq genome assembly.